GCCGGGCGUAGUGGCGGGCGCCUGUAGUCCCAGUUACUCGGGAGGCUGAAGCAGGGGAAUUGCUUGAACCCAGGAGCUGGAGGUUGCAGUGAGCUGAGAUUGCGCCACUGCACUCUAGCCUGGGUGACAGAGCGAGACUCUGUCUCAA
Molecule: small RNA, 148 nt
Filed under: Papio anubis (olive baboon)
Lineage: Eukaryota; Metazoa; Chordata; Mammalia; Primates; Cercopithecidae
Also listed under: 1 other name
Description: Metazoan signal recognition particle RNA (ENSPANG00000044194.1)
Rfam family: Metazoan signal recognition particle RNA
About the family: The signal recognition particle (SRP) is a universally conserved ribonucleoprotein. It is involved in the co-translational targeting of proteins to membranes.
Source: Rfam by way of RNAcentral